UGUUGGCUCCCAGAUGUGUCGAACACUGUAGAUCAGUGAGUCCAGUGUGAGCUGCCCUCCUUUCCUUCAGCUAGUACUAUGGAAAUGCCCUUCAGCCAGUUUCUUUAACGUCCUUAUUGGUCUGGGGGAGCAGCCCACUGGAUCAACAGUGAAAGCCUGUGGUUGUGAGGGGCAGCGGCCGGCUAUGAAUGUGUGUAACUUUGUAUGUGUGAAUUGGGGUGUUGAUGAAAGAGAGUGUGUGCUUGGCAAAUAUUCCCAGGAUAAAUUAAGGCAAAAAGUGUGAGUCUUUACUGAGAUCUAAAAAGAAAACAUUUGAUGUGGUGGCAGAUUUGUGCCUUUGAGGGUCGGAUUGAACCGGUCGCAGAAGAGAAACAUGGGAAUGGAUUUAGUUUGGAUCCUGUUUGGCUGGUGUUUCUUUGGUUGAACUGGUCCUGUUUGAUCCUUCAAAGAUAGAAAGAAAGAAGGUGUGACAUGAACUGAUGUCAAAGCAACAACUGAUUUUUCAACGGAUCAUUUUUAGUAGGGUCUUUUAAAAAAAUAAAACUAAAUGACUCUUAUUUACUUUGUUAUAACUUUCUUAUAUAUUUUGAUACAUGUGUAUAUGAGUCUUAGUAACUUUUUGUUGAUUCAUAAAUUGAAAAUAAAAUGUUCUUUUAAUAUGAUGCAAAAAAAUCUUUAAAUAAUAAUGCUUAUUACAAUAAAAAAAAAAAUCUAAAUUAGACUUCAUAUUCAGUAGGAGGGCAAGGUGUGUUGCCCAGAUGCUAAGCUAGAUCUGUUUUAGCCUAAAGACUAAACAUUUGUUAUAAAUGUUUUGGUUCACUAGUCAUUCAUUCUGUUUUGUACUGUAAUGGUCCACAGAGAUGGAGUUGCAGCGUGUAAACUCUAACAUAAUUCCGUUUUAAGCUAGUGAAGCUGUAUGAUUCCUGGCAGGAUGUGAUGAUUCUAUAUUCUGUUGGAUUGUCAGUUGUUGUCUGUUGUUGACAGUCCGUUCAUCCAUCCAUCAGGACGGUUAAAAACAAAUGCCAGACAGUAAAAUGGAAACAAGCCGUCUGAGAACUCCUCCAGUAUGAAAACAUGACGAACAUAUCACAUCACUGUGAGUAAACUCAGGGCCUCCCUCCUUCACCCUUUCCCUCUUGUGAGCUCUCUCCUCACCUUCCUGCCUCCCUGUCCCUCUCUCACACACUUCCCCAGACUCUGACUCUCACAGACGUGUGGUUUAUUCGUGUUUGUGACGUGUUUGUGACAGCAGGCUGUGUUUGCUGAGCAGCUUUCACUGCUGCUCCACCCAUCAACCCCUCUUAACCUUUAACCCCCACUGUCCCACCUGCCCACUCAAAUACCUGUUCAGACAAUCUUCAGACCCACAGCUUUGUUAGCUUUGUCUACUGCUGACGUCAAACGUCUCUCAAAUGACUCAAAUCACGUAUAUUAAACAAGUUUUAAUCACAAAUCUGGUGUUUUCCGUAUGAACGACUGAAACAGUGUGUAUCUUCCCUUCGCAUGAACUCAGAGAGUAUUUGGCCUGCCGUUUCCAUUACUUUUCUACGUUUCAGUGUUCCCUCCGAGCCAGCACAUUCAAAUAAAUUAAACAGCAUGUAGCUAGGAAGUUAAGGGGGAAAACAAACACAGAAAAUGAUGUAGGUUUGGUUCCCUAAUUGCCUAAAAUGAUGCAGUUUGGUCGGAACACCGUCUCACUAACUCCACUGGCAUGUUUUUCCUUUUUCAUCCAAAUUCUCCAAAUAUGAGUCCAGUUCCUCAUGAACCCAGAGUAGAAUUCUUCUGGCUUUUACUGUGACAAAUGCCCACAAUUUAUCACUCACUAUUAUAGAAACCAAGAAGUAAAUACCGACCAAUGUACAAACCCAGUCUCUAAUUCCUAUGGUAAGACCUUGCAGUUUAUUCCCUACCACUGCAUUACAAUAACAAGAGCCGCAGCUGGGAAAGGCCUUGCUUUUGGUGUGUUUACUAUGUGUGUGUGUGUGUGUGUGUGUAUCUGUAUCCCUGUGCGAUCUGUGUGUGUGGUUUGACUGAUGCCCACAUCCUUCCUGGGUAACAUAAUGGCCACCUAGAAGACACACUUCUAUUCCUCAAUUGCAUAGUUGCCUUCUCUUAUUCAUCAUUCCCACCAACAGUGAGGCAGCUGAAGGUUAUGACGUGGGCUGAGACACACAAGGUCACUUUAGUUUGUCUUCCUGCAUUUUUUUCUCAUGGUUACAUUCCUCUAUACAAACUGCCUCCUUCAUAUAGACUAUGAUUUGAGGUGAGCAAACCAGAAUGGUAUUUAACUUGUUCACACGAGGUGUAAAAAUUUAAAGAAAAACAGUGAAUAGGGAGAGGGGCUGUUUAACUUCCUCCUUUGUUACCCAGAAAUAAAUCAGUGCACCAUUUGACCUGGGAAUUGUCUAAUUCAAGGUUGUCUGCAGCAGGGCCAGGGCUAUAUCACAGACAGCACCAGCUGCCACAUGGGGCACCACCUUUUUGGUGGGGCAGAUGCCUGCAAAGAAAUAUGUAUGGGAGGUUGCCACGCAGUUGCUGUAAAAGGAAGAAAAAGCAUCAGUUUGAGUGUCAAAUGUUACUCUUCAUGGCCAGCAGUUCUUCUGUGUUGGGGCGGGAUGUUCGUAUCAUGGAUGUGGACGAAUUCUCCAGCAUCUUGUUGAAUCUGUGCCACAAAAUAAUUAUUUAUAAGAUAUACCUUUCAUAGUGACAAGUGUAGUAUAUGUUCUUAAUUGUUUUUAGGUCACUGCAGAUUCAAAAAACAGAGGUAGUGAUGGUGAAGUUAGGACUACCGUGUAAACACAGGAACAGGAGAUGAUGGGAAAGACAGGUUCCGUAAAUGAGCUUUUCUUUCCCAUCAUCUUCCAUUACUGUAUGUCUGUUUGUUUGUUUAAUGGAGCAGAAGCAGAAAAAAAAGUGAAAUAGUGAGUCUGUCUGUCUGUGUGUUUUUUUUUUUUUUUCACUGUUUUUCUCUUUGAAUCUGCAGGUGAGCGCAGCGGUUUCCCCUCAGCGUGGAACAUCCCGUUCACAUACCUGAGAGCUACUUCCCCUUCAGAAAAACACCAGCAGUUACCAGAAUAAACCACUAAAUCUACUUAACCCACACACCCACUUCUCUGCCCUGCAUGUUUUUCUGUUCAUGCGCCAACUGUCAUUCUCCCAGUGCCAGCUGUAACUCAUCUUUAUUUAUGACUUAUGAGAGGGAGGAAGGGGAGUACACACACCACAGAGAGGAGCCUUUAACAGCAAACACGCUGCAUUCCUCCUGCUAGUCCACAGCUGGACUCCAAAGUAAAGUUUACAUUCCUGGGUCCAUGGGAGGAAUGCUGCCCUCUGGGGCUCUGGAUCAGGUUUAAGGAUUACAAGGCCAGGAAUAAGGAUGGAGACUGGGGUAAUCACUCCCAAGGUCUUGAGAUGCUGGUCAGGAUUUUGUUCUUAGUAAGACACAACACACAAAUCCUGACAUUAGCUGUUGUUGUUUUUUAUGUAGAGGUCCAAGUGUAAUAAGGUACCAUGGGCAGGGUUUAAUGUCAUCCAGUGGUAAGGCAACAUUUUGCAGCUAUGUCGAUCCAACGUACAGAAGCAGCCUCUGUACAGAGGACACAUGAAAAAAGGCAAGAGAAGGAAAAGAAGGGAAAAUAGGAGAGAAAAGGAGUGUAGAAAUAAUAUCCAGUUUUGAUGAGGACAAAGCUUCUGCUAUAACCAUUUCAGCUAAAACAAUAAUGUUCACGUUAUACCCAUUACUACUGCAACUGAUGAGAGUCAUUAUUGGCUGAUCUGCAUCCAACAGCAGACAAAGAACCCAUUGUCUGGCUUAAGGGCACGUCUGCAAUUGAAGAGCCCGAAAAUGAGCAAACGGCCUCUUUGAAGAACCUGCAGAACUUUGAUUAAAGCUCAAAGCUUAUUGUUGUGGGAGUAUGACUACACCACAUUUUUUGAUCAUUUGUGAUUAAGAAGCUGGGAAAGCUGGUCCAGGAUUGUUUUCACACAAUAGGAUAUCGUGCAUGUAUAUGCUCAAUGUCAAUCCUGCAUGAAAAAAAAAACAUAAUUGAGAAUUAUUACAUAGUGGAAUAAUACAGUAAUAUUUUGAUGAUUAUCCUCGCAAUCCUGUACUGCCCCCUGCUGACUGCAAUUAGGUACCAAGUAAACUGCAUAUUUUAAAUCCGCCAGAAUAGUACUUAUGCAGUAUCACAUUUUCCACUGCCUUCAGGCAUACUACUUAAUUAAGUAAGCUAUAUAAUCAAUUAAUUAAUUAAUAAAAUGUUUUAUAUGCAAUUUAGUAAGCAAACAGUAGGAACAAAAUUGUAGAUGUAAGCAGUUUUCCAUUGACAUUAAAUACAACAGGGUUUGUGUGAGUUUUUUUGUUGUUGUUUGUUUAAGUUCCACUUGGUUAUUUGUCUUAAAUUAAAAAAAAAAAUCAUUAUCUGCCCAUAUCCUUAAUACUUAAAAAUACUGAGUAUUUGUUUGUGGUUUGUGUGAAUACUUUGUCCAAAACUAUACGUUGAUGAUUUUUCUCUAUUAGGAUGCCAACUAUAACAAGCACUGACAACCUGACUCUGCUGGACAAAAUGUUUUGAGCAGGUAAAAAGAUCUUCUGUACUUCAAACGCGUUUCCAUAAUGAAGGAGAUUCAUCCACCGGUGAGCAGCAGCUGUGAGUCCUGAUUCCUGUCUGCUACAAUUAUACAUCGUAUGGAGCUAUGUUUUUAUUAAAUGAAGCAGUAAAAUAAAUGUUGAGGAAAAUUACAUCAACUGAGAAACAAGCUCAUAAUUCCGCGAGUGUCCGUACAAAUCCCUGCACCACCUGCUCUGUGACAUUUCUGUUUGAAGGGAAAAUCAUGCUCCGCUCCCUGCAGCAACAGCACGUGUAACCAGCUCAACAUAUUUCCUGUCCCAUAUUUAUUUGACGUCCAGUUCAACCUGCCCUCUACCUGCUGAUUUAUUCACAACAGUGUCCAAAUCCUUCUUGCCUCUUUUUCCGUGCCAAGGAAAGCUUUACUUUCUGGCAUCACAGCCCUCCGUUACUUCCACAGCUCGCUCCAACAUCAACGGCAUCUGUUCCGACAUGAUUCUCACCUGCCCUGUGAUCUCACUCUCAUGUCCGUCUGAAAUGCACUCCCUUCUUUCUUAAUGGUUAACGAGGAGAUGAAGUAUGACGUGAGUUUUUUCAUGGAAAAUCACACAGUAGGCCUCCUGAGGUGUUCCACACGUGUCUGUUGUUGGCUCUGCUUUAGUUUUAGACUAAAGAGGUGGCGGUUACUGCUGGAUAUUGGAUUCGAUUAGGUCACCAUGAUUAUUGACGUGUUGACUGGUUGUGGCAACGAAGGGAGUGUUGAGGUUGAAUAACAGAAUGUAGGAUGCAACUGGUGAAAGUAGUUGAGAUUUAUGGCGAUUGAUGUGGAGGACAAAGAGCAGCAUGAGCUGAUUAGUCAACUUUUCUUUCUGGAGUUUGAGCUGCUGCUGCUGCUAACAAAUCACUGAUAAACAGAGGGAAAAUGAAACACCCAACAGUGUUACACUCAAUCAUUUUAUUGAGGAAUAUAAUAGUAUGAUAAUCAACCAAUCCUUUUUCAACAUGUUUCCAUUUCUGAUUCAUUCAGGAUACAGUCACAUCAGUAUCUACACAUCUGGACCAUCAUUUGUGGCAGUAAUGUCACCUUUCACCUUCUCUACAACUUGUCUUCUUCUUUUUUGCACUAGUUGCUUUUGAUCGUAAGACAAUUUAAAAAAAAUA
Long non-coding RNA from Cynoglossus semilaevis (tongue sole), 5729 nucleotides. RefSeq lists it as uncharacterized. The record is from RefSeq and is a predicted model, not a curated record. The transcript is spliced from 2 exons. Lineage: Eukaryota; Metazoa; Chordata; Actinopteri; Pleuronectiformes; Cynoglossidae.